Molecule: non-coding RNA, 27 nt
Filed under: Homo sapiens (human)
Lineage: Eukaryota; Metazoa; Chordata; Mammalia; Primates; Hominidae
Source: RNAcentral
UGUAGAGACCAUGAAACAAGAGGGGGA